CGCGAAGAACCUUACCUGGGCUAGAAUGUGAGGGAAGUUAUCAGAAAUGGUAACGCCAGCAAUGGCCCGAAACAAGGUGCUGCAUGGCUGUCGUCAGCUCGUGUCGUGGGAUGUUGGGUUAAGUCCCGCAACGAGCGCAACCCCUAUGUUUAGUUACCAGCACGUUAAGGUGGGGACUCUAGACAGACUGCCUGCGCAAGCAGAGAGGAAGGAGGGGAUGACGUCAAGUCAUCAUGGCCCUUACGCCCAGGGCUACACACGUGCUACAAUGGCUGGUACAAGGGGUUGCGAGGUAGUAAUACUGAGCCAAUCUCAAAAAGCCAGUCACAGUUCGGAUUGGGGGCUGCAACUCGCCCCUAUGAAGCUGGAAUCGCUAGUAAUCGCAAAUCAGCAAUGUUGCGGUGAAUACGUUCCCGGGCCUUGUACACACCG
RNAcentral lists this ribosomal RNA (432 nucleotides) under uncultured bacterium. RNAcentral's name for it is "bacterial SSU rRNA". It matches the Rfam family "Bacterial small subunit ribosomal RNA", at positions 960 to 1392 of the family's 1533-position model. The record is from RNAcentral.